This 1771-nucleotide unclassified non-coding RNA is filed under the name Leishmania donovani. RNAcentral's name for it is "gene:unknown". The record is from RNAcentral. Lineage: Eukaryota; Euglenozoa; Kinetoplastea; Trypanosomatida; Trypanosomatidae.
CGUCCACCCGAUUCUCCGGCGCACUCGCACACUUCACGGAUCACUUCGUUCGUCAAGUGGGCUUCGGCAACGGAAUACACUACCCAACGGAAAGCCAGCUGCAGUUACAUUCUUCAACAUAACCGCCAUAAUGAAGCCGAGGAGCGACCUUUCAGUCUUCCGUCUACAUCAGAAGAAGGGCGAGAUUAGACGAGAGUAAAGCGCGGAAGAGCGCGACGACUCGUUCUCACUAUGCGUGAAUGGCUCGUGCCUCCGAUCUAUAGUGAGCGCUGUCUUCGCUCUGUUUGCAGUUGGCACUGCGGCUUUUCUUUUCGUCUUUGCCCUCUCUCUUGGCGGUGCUGCUGUGGUUUUUUUUCUGCGAAAACGCAAUACCUCCCUCUCUGUUAUGUUCUCAACCUCGGGUUCUAUUGCUCACGUUGGUGUGCUGUACAGCCAUCCACCCACCCCCCUCCCUCUCCUUCUUUCCAUUAUCCCGUACCCUCUCCACAGCGGUACUCGUCGGACGCAUGUGCACGCGAGCGGGGAGGCAUUAAACGACUCUCUCUUUCUGUUCUCCCCCUUUUUGCGGGUCUGCGUCUUUCCUGUGUGCCGCUCUUCCUGCUUACUUUCAUCCUACACUUUAUGUGCUUCCCCCCCCCCCAAAGAUCUCAUAACGGCACUUGAGAGACAAACACGCAAACGCGAGGGCCCGCACACACUAUGGUCUACGUGUACUCAAGAGCGGUGAAUGAUGACGAGUCUCGCUUACUGUCCCCUUCUCUCCCAAAGCUAGUCUGUGCAAUCAGCUCUGCCUUCCCCACUAAAAAAAAAAGACGGAAAGAAUGAUAAUCAUACGACGGCAUAUCUAGCAGUAGCCCAUUCACACCCCACAUUGUGUAGGUCACGGUGACGCUCCUUACACUCAAGCCGGUGACCGGUCACAGUGCAGCUUGAUCCGAAGAGACACCCGUGCCUGCGUGCGCGUGGGCCCCUCAUCCUGAAUACAAAACGCUUCCACCCUGCCGUUGGCCGUGCUUGAUGAGGACGAGAUGCCCUUCAAUCAGGACCGCAUCACCGCAGUCUCAUCGCGGGCCCCCCAUCGGGAAGUCUCCGAUGGGCCGCAUUGCUGCACCCCCGGCGCCGCCAUCGCGCCACUCUCGCGAAGGCAAGGCAAUCUCCCCGAAACGUGCAUUACGCAGCUCGAUAAGGGCGAACACAGCAGGCAACUGCCAGAGGCGCUACGAAAAGCUUCUCUAUCUGGCGGAAGGAAGAAAGCACAAACGACGGCACGGGACCCCUUGCCUCGGAGCGAGUGGAAGGUGUUCAGAGGAUCUAAGUCCCACAUCGCCGUCCGAAAGUCCCGCACUCCAAGCUCCAAUACACCGAACUCAACGUGAGGAAGCUUAUCAGCGUCUCCUCGGCGGCGUACGAGACGCUGGCCAGCGACGUCGCGUCGGUUGUCGAAUUCCGUUCCGUCUUGGAAGAAGGGCGAGCUGAGAGUGCCGUACCGCGCGCACACGCCACACAGUAGUCCCAGCCAUGAAUUUCUCGCAACUGUAUGGCCACCGCCUUACGAGGCUGCCGCACCCAGAAUGCGACGCCUACGUCGCACAAGGUGCUCCAAUGGCGCCCGCAUCUCCGACGGGUAACCGCGAGAAGAGUGCAGCAGCCGGACGAGUAUACGCAUGUGCUCCCCACGCCUCGAAUACGCGGCAUGUUGCCUCCUCACAGAUAACCAUCUCACAGCCUGAAGAGGAGGAGGGGUCAUUCUGCACGUUCGCAGAAGUCAUCG